UACGUAGGGUGCAAGCGUUAAUCGGAAUUACUGGGCGUAAAGCGUGCGCAGGCGGUUUUGUAAGAACGAUGUGAAAUCCCCGGGCUUAACCUGGGAACUGCAUUGGUGACUGCAAGGCUUGAGUGUGUCAGAGGGAGGUGGAAUUCCGCGUGUAGCAGUGAAAUGCGUAGAUAUGCGGAGGAACACCGAUGGCGAAGGCAGCCUCCUGGGAUAACACUGACGCUCAUGCACGAAAGCGUGGGGAGCAAACAGG
RNAcentral lists this ribosomal RNA (253 nucleotides) under uncultured bacterium. Its description in RNAcentral is "partial 16S ribosomal RNA". It matches the Rfam family "Bacterial small subunit ribosomal RNA", at positions 524 to 776 of the family's 1533-position model. The record is from RNAcentral.